RNAcentral lists this ribosomal RNA (259 nucleotides) under uncultured bacterium. RNAcentral's name for it is "partial 16S ribosomal RNA". It matches the Rfam family "Bacterial small subunit ribosomal RNA", at positions 524 to 776 of the family's 1533-position model. The record is from RNAcentral.
UACGUAGGGAGCAAGCGUUGUCCGGAAUCAUUGGGCGUAAAGCGCGCGUAGGUGGCCUCAUAAGUCCGCUGUGAAAGUCAAAGGCUCAACCUUUGAAAGCCGGUGGAUACUGUGAGGCUAGAGUACGGAAGAGGCGAGUGGAAUUCCUGGUGUAGCGGUGGAAUGCGCAGAUAUCAGGAGGAACACCAAUAGCGAAGGCAGCUCGCUGGGACGUUACUGACACUGACGCUCAUGCACGAAAGCGUGGGGAGCAAACAGG